This 25-nucleotide non-coding RNA is filed under the name Cricetulus griseus (Chinese hamster). The record is from RNAcentral. Lineage: Eukaryota; Metazoa; Chordata; Mammalia; Rodentia; Cricetidae.
AUUAACGGCAUGAUCCUUGUAGGAC